This 990-nucleotide long non-coding RNA is filed under the name Homo sapiens (human). RNAcentral's name for it is "HSALNT0154670". The record is from RNAcentral. Lineage: Eukaryota; Metazoa; Chordata; Mammalia; Primates; Hominidae.
UUUGGCUGCUCAUUCUCAUUGCUCAUGUGUGUGUAUGCCUGGUGGUGUAUGGCAGUGGAUGAUGAAUGUGAGAUUUUCUGUUGUAAUAGCUCUACUCUAGCAUUUCUCCAUCCUCUAGGCCAAGGUAACUAUGUGGUUUGAAAGAGAGCCAACAAAAGUCUGCAUCAGGAAUCCUGGAGUUUGUGCUGUCUCUGCCAUUCAUUCACUGCCCUUACAACCUUGGGCCCAGUUCCUUGGAUCCAUACAGAAGAGAUUAUUGAGACCUUAGAAAUAAGCUGAAGACUGAGAGGAGUUCCUGAUGCUCUCUGAUCACGGUUCUUUCCAGAUACUUGCCAGUUGAGCUGUCUUGCAAAACUUUUUAUUUCAAAGUCCAAUGGGAAUUUCUAUAAUUAUGCCCUGCCUUUUUCCAGCUUCUGCCUUUCACUUUCCUGCCCUCCUGGCCUCUCUCAAAUGGAAAUUAAUCCAGCCUCUAACAAGCUGUCAGUAAGUAAAGAUUUUACUGUGAUUAUUGCUUAGGAAAAAGAUAUUGCCUUUCUCCCCCUGCCUCCAAAUGCCUUAUUUGCAGACUAGAAAUCAUGGGGCAUGUGUCCAAUUGAUACAUUUCUCUUCAAAUAGAAGAUCCAAUGCUAAAGUGGGAUGCAAAUUUAAUUAUUCCACAUGUACAGAACAGAAACAGAAUCUCAUUGUUAAAUUUGUUCUCCUAUGUUGGAAAGAUUAAAAACAAAAUAUGUUGAAGUGGUUUGUGUGAGCGGAAUAUAUUUCAGCUCAUAAAAAUGUGAGGCAGUGAAAUAAGGGCACCAGAGGACUUACUUCUACCACACAGAAUUGUCAUUAUUUAAAAAUGUUUCUUCUCAGAAAUCUUUUUUUUCCUCACCUGUGUACUUCCAACAUUUCUAUAAUCUUCUCUGUGAUGAUUUCUCUAAAUAAUCCCCUUCAAACACUUUGUCUUCCAGCCAUGCCCAUAUAAUAUAAUAUGGAAUAAAAUGGUGA